UUUAUAUCAAUUAUAUAAAUCAAAACACAAAGGUUAUUCCUGAUUAAUUUUUCGAAUUGUUUUAUAAUUAAAGGCGUUAAGAAACCUUUGGUGGUCCCACCGUUUAAAUGUCUAUCGUAGGUACGUCGUGAACAGUGGUCGUUACAGACAAACGUUCACGUAAAUUGUCCCAGUCAAUGGAUGAUUUUGAUGUGUCAAUCAAUGGCCAC
RNAcentral lists this long non-coding RNA (209 nucleotides) under Mytilus galloprovincialis (Mediterranean mussel). The record is from RNAcentral. Lineage: Eukaryota; Metazoa; Mollusca; Bivalvia; Mytilida; Mytilidae.